CCAGACUCCUACGGGAGGCAGCAGUAGGGAAUUUUGCGCAAUGGGCGAAAGCCUGACGCAGCAACGCCGCGUGAUUGAUUAAGCCCUUCGGGGUGUAAAGAUCUGUCAGUGGGGACGAGACUUGACGGUACCCACAGAGGAAGCACCGGCUAACUACGUGCCAGCAGCCGCGGUAAUACGUAGGGAGCAAGCGUUAUCCGGAAUUAUUGGGUGUAAAGGGUGCGUAGACGGGACAGCAAGUUAGUUGUGAAAGCCCUCGGCUUAACUGAGGAACUGCAACUAAAACUAUUGUUCUUGAGUGCAGGAGAGGAAAGCGGAAUUCCUAGUGUAGCGGUGAAAUGCGUAGAUAUUAGGAGGAACACCAGUGGCGAAGGCGGCUUUCUGGACUGUAACUGACGUUGAGGCACGAAAGUGUGGGGAGCAAACAGGAUUAGAUACCCUGGUA
Molecule: ribosomal RNA, 445 nt
Filed under: uncultured bacterium
Lineage: Bacteria
Description: bacterial SSU rRNA
Rfam family: Bacterial small subunit ribosomal RNA
Source: RNAcentral